CAAUAGCGUAUAUUUAAGUUGUUGCAGUUAAAAAGCUCGUAGUCGGAUUUUGGCUGAGAACGAACGGUCCGCCGUUAGGUGUGCACUGUUUGGUCUCAGCUUCCUGGUGAGGAGGUGUGCUUCACGGCCACUUAGUCACCGUGGUUACUUUGAAAAAAUUAGAGUGUUCAAAGCGGGCUUACGCUUGAAUAUAUUAGCAUGGAAUAACACCAUAGGACUCCUGUCCUACUUCGUUGGUCUCGGGACGGGAGUAAUGAUUAAGAGGAACAGUUGGGGGCAUUCGUAUUUCAUUGUCAGAGGUGAAAUUCUUGGAUUUAUGAAAGACGAACUUCUGCGAAAGCAUUUGCCAAGGAUGUUUUCAUUG
Molecule: ribosomal RNA, 364 nt
Filed under: uncultured eukaryote
Lineage: Eukaryota
Description: partial 18S ribosomal RNA
Rfam family: Eukaryotic small subunit ribosomal RNA
Source: RNAcentral